This 1795-nucleotide long non-coding RNA is filed under the name Salmo salar (Atlantic salmon). RNAcentral describes it as "lncRNA (ENSSSAG00000086635.1)". The record is from RNAcentral. Lineage: Eukaryota; Metazoa; Chordata; Actinopteri; Salmoniformes; Salmonidae.
CCUAACAAUGGACUGUUGUCCUGACAAUGGAUUGCUGUCCUAACAAUGGACUGCUGUCCUAACAAUGGACUGCUGCUCUAACAAUGGACUGUUGUCCUAACAAUGAACUGCUGUCCUGACAAUGGACUGUUGUCCUGACAAUGGACUGCUGUCCUAUCAAUGGACUGCUGUCCUAACAAUGGACUGCUGUCCUAACUAUGGUCUGCUGUCCUAACAAUGGACUGUUGUCCUAACAAUGGACUGCUGUCCUAACAAUGGACUGCUGUCCUAACAACGGACUGCUGUCCUAACAACGGACUGCUGCCUUAACAACGGACUGCUGUCCUAACAAUGGACUGCUGUCCUAACAAUGGACUGCUGUCCUAACAAUGGACUGAUGCCUUAACAAUGGACUGCUGUCCUAACAAUGGACUGCUGUCCUAACAAUGGACUGCUGCCUUAACAAUGGACUGCUGUCCUAACAAUGGACUGCUGUCCUAACAAUGGACUGCUGUCCUAACAAUGGACUGCUGCCUUAACAAUGGACUGCUGUCCUAACAAUGGACUGCUGUCCUAACAAUGGACUGUUGUCCUAACAAUGGACUGCUGUCUUAACAAUGCGUAGACGUGGGGGGGCAGUUGAUUCUAGUAAACAUGAUAUUUCUGUGAUGUCUAACAUCAUGUUAUAUCUCUGGGGUAUCAGAGAGGGAUCUUAAAGUGGGAGAUAUGUGAGGAGAAAUCAGAUGCAUGGAUAACUUGCAUGGAUUUUCUUUUGCUUCCAUCAUGGAUGGUAGGAUGGUAGAUUUUGAUUGGUAGGAGUUUUGGAUGGUAGGAUGGAAGGAGGUUUGGAUGGCAGGAUGAUAGGAUGGUAGGAGUUUUGGAUGGUAGGAUGGUAGGAGGUUUGGAAGGUAGGAUGGUAGGAUUUUGGAUGGUAGGAGUUUUGGAAGGUUGGAGUUUUCAAUGGUCCCUCCUGUCUGUACCUCCUGUCUGUCCCUCCUGUCCCUGUCUGUCCUUCCUGUAUUUCCCUGUCUGUCCCUGUCUAUCCAAUCAAAUUUAUUUCAAUCAAUCAAAUGUAUUUAUAAAGCCCUUUUUACAUCAGCUGAUAUCUCAAAGUGCUGUACAGAAACCCAGCCUAAAACCCCAAACAGCAAGCAAUGCAGGUGUAGAAGCACAGUGGCUAGGAAAAACUCCCUAGAAAGGCCAAAAACCUAGGAAGAAACCUAGAGAGGAACCAGGCUAUGAGGGGUGGCCAGGAAAAACUCCCUAGAAAGGCCAGAACCUAGGAAGAAACCUAGAGAGGAACCAGGCUAUGAGGAGUGGCCAGUCCUCUUCUGGCUGUGCCGGGUGGAGAUUAUAACAGAACAUGGCCAAGAUGUUCAAAUGUUCAUAGAUGACCAGCAGGGCCAGAUAAUAAUAGUCACAGUGGUUGUAGAAGGUGCAACAGGUCAGCACCUCGGGAGUAAAUGUCAGUUGGCUUUUCAUAGCCGAUCAUUCAGAGUUAGAGACAGCAGGUGAGCUAGAGAGAGAGUCGAAAACAGCAGGUCCGGGACAAGGUAGCACAUUCAGUGAACAAGUCAGGGUUCCAGGCAGAACAGUUGAAACUGGAGCAGCAGCACGGCCAGGUGGACUGGGGACAGCAUGGAGUCAUCAUGCCAGGUAGUCCUGAGGCAUGGUCCUAGGGCUCAGGUCCUCCGGGAGGGGAGGGAGAGGGAGAGAGAAUUACAGAGAGCAUACUUAAAUUCACACAGGACACCGGAUAAGACAGGAGAAAUACUCCAGACAUAACACUGACCCUAGCCCCCCCCGACACAUAAAC